AUUGAACGCUGGCGGCGUGCUUAACACAUGCAAGUCGAUCGGGUAACAGGUGUAGCAAUACAUGCUGACGAGAGGCGGACGGGUGAGUAAUGCUUGGGAAUCUGCCUAUUAGUGGGGGACAACCCGGGGAAACUCGGGCUAAUACCGCAUACGCUCUACGGAGGAAAGCCGGGGACCGCAAGGCCUGGCGCUAAUAGAUGAGCCCAAGUCGGAUUAGCUAGUUGGUAGGGAACGGCCUACCAAGGCGACAAUCCGUAGCUGGUCUGAGAGGACGACCAGCCACACCGGAACUGAGACACGGUCCGGACUCCUACGGGAGGCAGCAGUGGGGAAUAUUGGACAAUGGGGGCAACCCUGAUCCAGCGACGCCGCGUGGGUGAAGAAGGCCUGCGGGUUGUAAAGCCCUUCGGUGGGGAAGAAAAGUCUCGACCUAAUACGUCGGGACCUUGACGUAACCCAC
Molecule: ribosomal RNA, 460 nt
Filed under: uncultured bacterium
Lineage: Bacteria
Description: bacterial SSU rRNA
Rfam family: Bacterial small subunit ribosomal RNA
Source: RNAcentral